CUAUAAUGCAGUCGAGCGAACAGAUAAGGAGCUUGCUCCUUUGACGUUAGCGGCGGACGGGUGAGUAACACGUGGGUAACCUACCUAUAAGACUGGGAUAACUUCGGGAAACCGGAGCUAAUACCGGAUAAUAUUUCGAACCGCAUGGUUCGAUAGUGAAAGAUGGUUUUGCUAUCACUUAUAGAUGGACCCGCGCCGUAUUAGCUAGUUGGUAAGGUAACGGCUUACCAAGGCGACGAUACGUAGCCGACCUGAGAGGGUGAUCGGCCACACUGGAACUGAGACACGGUCCAGACUCCUACGGGAGGCAGCAGUAGGGAAUCUUCCGCAAUGGGCGAAAGCCUGACGGAGCAACGCCGCGUGAGUGAUGAAGGUCUUCGGAUCGUAAAACUCUGUUAUUAGGGAAGAACAUACGUGUAAGUAACUGUGCACGUCUUGACGGUACCUAAUCAGAAAGCCACGGCUAACUACGUGCCAGCAGCCGCGGUAAUACGUAGGUGGCAAGCGUUAUCCGGAAUUAUUGGGCGUAAAGCGCGCGUAGGCGGUUUUUUAAGUCUGAUGUGAAAGCCCACGGCUCAACCGUGGAGGGUCAUUGGAAACUGGAAAACUUGAGUGCAGAAGAGGAAAGUGGAAUUCCAUGUGUAGCGGUGAAAUGCGCAGAGAUAUGGAGGAACACCAGUGGCGAAGGCGACUUUCUGGUCUGUAACUGACGCUGAUGUGCGAAAGCGUGGGGAUCAAACAGGAUUAGAUACCCUGGUAGUCCACGCCGUAAACGAUGAGUGCUAAGUGUUA
RNAcentral lists this ribosomal RNA (792 nucleotides) under Staphylococcus sp. N13-MSE-T2P21. Its description in RNAcentral is "bacterial SSU rRNA". It matches the Rfam family "Bacterial small subunit ribosomal RNA", at positions 49 to 825 of the family's 1533-position model. RNAcentral also lists the same sequence under 1 other name. Lineage: Bacteria; Bacillati; Bacillota; Bacilli; Caryophanales; Staphylococcaceae. The record is from RNAcentral.